This is a non-coding RNA of Zygosaccharomyces bailii CLIB 213, 103 nucleotides long. The record is from Rfam. Lineage: Eukaryota; Fungi; Ascomycota; Saccharomycetes; Saccharomycetales; Saccharomycetaceae.
GACACUAUGGCCGAGUGGUUAAGGCGUGAGACUCGAAUGGAUUCAUCAAACUUCGGUCAUCUCUUGGGCUCUGCCCGCGCAGGUUCGAAUCCUGCUGGUGUCG